CGUUCCGCUCCCGCCCCGCUCGGUCCCGCCGUGCCCCGGAGAUGCUGUCGGGGCUGCGCCGCCGCCUUCCCCCUCCGGAAGCGACCCACGGCGGCAGACCCGACGUCGGGCUCUCCAGGAGAUCGUCCCCGGGGUGAUGAAGCUUAUGGAAAAAAGACAGAAUGCAUCGAGGUGAGUACAUUCUACUGAGUUCUGCUUUUCUGGGAUCAGUUUGGGAAAAUCAUGUGAAAUUCUAAAAAGCUUCUCUCCAUGUCUUCUAGUUGUUUUUUCAGCCUUGGUCUAAGUUUCAUGUAGAAAAGGGCAUAGAAUUAGAACAGAUAAACUAGACUUUCUUGGGAGAGAUGGAAGAAAAGUCUGCUGAUUACAGUUCUGCUUUUCUUGUCUUCCCUUAGACUGUCAUUUUCUCUCACCUACUGUUCAAAGAGGCAGCAAUUAAUUCUUCUUCUGAAGAGUUUGCUGUACUAAGUGUCUGUCAAAUUGAUGCCUUCAACUCAAGAUAGCACAUACUUCUUAGUU
Molecule: long non-coding RNA, 516 nt
Organism: Neopelma chrysocephalum (saffron-crested tyrant-manakin)
Lineage: Eukaryota; Metazoa; Chordata; Aves; Passeriformes; Pipridae
Exons: 2
Source: RefSeq, a predicted model, not a curated record